Molecule: transfer RNA, 73 nt
Filed under: Fusarium vanettenii 77-13-4
Lineage: Eukaryota; Fungi; Ascomycota; Sordariomycetes; Hypocreales; Nectriaceae
Description: tRNA-Tyr (GTA) (tRNA-Tyr-GTA-2 1 to 4)
Rfam family: tRNA
About the family: Transfer RNA (tRNA) molecules are approximately 80 nucleotides in length.
Source: RNAcentral
CCCCGAGUAGCUCAGCUGGAAGAGCGUUCGGCUGUAAACCGAAAGGCCACCUGUUCGAGCCAGGUCUCGGGGA